UGAUAAAAAAAGGAAUUGAAGCUCUAUAAAUAGGACUACAGCCUACUGCC
RNAcentral lists this transfer RNA (50 nucleotides) under Anolis richardii. Its description in RNAcentral is "partial tRNA-Tyr". Lineage: Eukaryota; Metazoa; Chordata; Lepidosauria; Squamata; Anolidae. The record is from RNAcentral.